This 253-nucleotide ribosomal RNA is filed under the name uncultured bacterium. RNAcentral describes it as "partial 16S ribosomal RNA". It matches the Rfam family "Bacterial small subunit ribosomal RNA", at positions 524 to 776 of the family's 1533-position model. The record is from RNAcentral.
GACGUAGGGCGCGAGCGUUGUCCGGAUUUAUUGGGCGUAAAGAGCUCGUAGGCGGCUUGUCGCGUCGACCGUGAAAACUUGGGGCUCAACCCCAAGCCUGCGGCCGAUACGGGCAGGCUAGAGUUCGGUAGGGGAGACUGGAAUUCCUGGUGUAGCGGUGAAAUGCGCAGAUAUCAGGAGGAACACCGGUGGCGAAGGCGGGUCUCUGGGCCGAUACUGACGCUGAGGAGCGAAAGCGUGGGGAGCGAACAGG